AAUGGCAUGUAAAUGUGGACGCGUCCCACCCCUCAGGGGCGGCUGGGCGAGGGAGCCGCAGCGGGCGGGCAGGAAGUCUCGGGUAUUGGUCAAUCAGGUUGUGUGAGCUGAGCGGUGCAGUGAGAGUCGUUCACACUGUCGAAACUUCACGGGCUGGAUGUUUGUUUUGGGCGUCAGUGCGUGUGAAAAAAAAAAAAACCCGUGGGUGAAUAUGAUAAACAGCAGGGCUUAAAACGAGGAUGGGAGUGUGGCUGUCCCGCAUGGCACCGAUGGAGCUGAGAAGAGAGGAUCCAGUCCGAGCUGAGAUCUACAACAUGCUGCUGGAGUCCGACGCCUUCGUCCACUCGCACCGCGCGCUCAGGCGCGAGCUGUGCAUCACCCGCAUGGCCUCCGUCAUCCUCGCCCUGCUCUUGUGCAGCAGCUUCUGCCUUCUGUUCUUCAUCCAGCUUCACAGGCCGGCGUGCAACGAAAAAGGACAGAUCGCCAAGGCAAAUGGUAAUUCUUGCUUUCUUUUCUACGUGAUUAAAGCUUUUACAGAAAUUAACCGGGGCGUGAAGGCGAAGUGCUGACGAUGCUGUAAUUCUAGCAUUUGGUAAAAUUAAAGUGCUACAACACGCAGGUGAACGAUGCUGGUAGCGAUGAAAGACUGUAUGAGCCUCAACACGCCUUUCUGUCUUUUCUCCAGCAGAACUGCCUUUAAGGGUUGGCGCGCAUGUUGCUGCUCGUGAACCCAACCCGGAGAAGCCUCCAUCAGCUUCUCUCCACAGUAAGUACACCAUCACAUCUUAUUAAGGAAAACAUAGCGCCAAAGCAGGUGAUUACAAUGCUUGGAUGGAUCUAGCAGAUUGUUAUGUGGAAGUAGAUGCACGCAUGUAAAGACCUGCUUGACUUACUCCAGCUGGUACUUUAAUCGUUCAGAUAAUACAUGAAACGCUCAGCUUUCUCAUAUUUGAUGUUCUGGUUAGCGAUUGAGCAGCGCAGGGGCUUUAGUACCUUUUUGAAAGCACCAGCCGUUGUUUACAUCAUGUGAACUCCAAUGGAAAUGAUCUGAUAUUAUUUCGAAUCAGAGAUGGCAGCUGAAUUUGAAACCUCAGUGCAGUAAAUGACUAAAACAUUGUUACCUAGCCUGAGCGAUCGUUGCCGUAAUGCGUUUCACCUGCAGAUGGCAGCAGCCUUGGCGUCGAUGCUGCUUUUCAUCGUAGAACAACCUUCAGUCUGAUGGACAGAAAUGUGCGGCGCUUUGAGGAGAGAGGAAAAACAACUAGGCUAGCAUUGAGCUUGGAUAGCGAGUAUGUUAUCUAGUGCAGUAUCUGCUUUAGCUGAAGUUGUCAGUGAAUCUAGAUCACGUUCCUUUAAAACGUACUUAAACUUCAGCUGGACUGGCUCUUAGGCUCGCUACACGCUUGAUGAUGACGGUGGUUUUUCAAGGGUUCUUUAGGAAGGGCAGUGGAUUACUUGGGCUACGUUCACAUUACCAGGCGGAAGUGGCACAAAUCGGAUUUUUUGCUCAAAUGUGACUCGGAUCUGAUGUUCUCAGGACUGUGGUGGAUGCAAAUCUGAUCUUCUCAAAUCCGGCCUGAGCCGCUUUCAUAUGUGGUCCUAGAUCGGAUACGUAUCCGAUGUGACGCUUUUUUCCACUGCGCGUGCACCAUCAUUCAGCGUAACCAUGGCAACCACGCCGAAACGACGUUAAAGCCUGUAAAUGGUGGAAAAGCAGCUCAUCUCACCUUUUUCUCCUCCGUCUGGCUCUAAUAACGAAGCUGAGAGCUGAUCAGAGUUAAUGAUCUUCUCAGCGAAGCUCGUUCUGCUCGUUAGUUUGUGCUGAUGAUGCAGUGAUUCAGUCACGUGAUGAUACUGAGUAGGAGGAGCUCAUGAGGUCAUUUCAGGAUGUGGUUCGUUCACAUUAAUGCCAGAUAUGAAUCACUGACCUAAAUGAGGGUGAAGCAUCGAGUCAGAGAGAUCGGAUUUGAGCAAAAAAAUCAGAUUUGAGCAACGAGACUUGUAGAACCACAUGUUACAUAUAGAUCCCUUUGCAUGCUUGAAUGGCUUAUGGGCCAUAUAAACUAUAGACUAGCCAAACACUUCCAGUUGUUUUUCCUCUUUCCUUUAAAUGCUGCAUUUAUUCUCUAUAACGAUUCAGCUUUGUUCUUCAGUGAAGGCCUCAUUACUGUAACUGCAUGUAUUCUUGCAGCUAGCGUUAAGAUUAAAGUGAAAUUCUAUACGUCUUGAAACCGAUCUUGGACUUGUAAACAUCUCUGCUUGGAAUAUAAUCUGAUUGCAUUAAAAUUCAUAACACAUUUUCCCCCACGAACUUAACAUUUCAGAGAUGUGAGGUUUUGAUACAGUGGGUUACAAAUGGUACAGGUUAAGUACAGUUUGUGAGGGACAAUAACAUAAAUGAGGCAUUAAUAUCAUAAAUCCCCAGGAGUUGACGUCACGUCCUGGUUUCCAUUCCUCACUCCACAAAAUAACAACACAACUUUACACGGUUUUCCAUGUAGUUAGUGAAUAAUAAGCCUUAGGAUGGAAGAAUCCAGGAGCAGUAUUACAGAAACGUAUCUUUAGUCUUAAGUUAAGAUCUGACAAGACUGAUCAAAGUCGACAAUCAACUGUUAUGUCUGUUACCGAGCAACUGACAAUAAGAGCACAGCUGAAACGCAAACAUGUAGUCAAAAAGACUUUAGGUUUGUUUGCUACAUAGCUACCGUUACUGAUGUAAAAACAGUCAAAACAAGAAUAAAGUGCAAUAAACUGGAAGUUGAGAAUAUUGUGAGAGCGCCACCUGCUGAAUGUUGUCAGUCCUCAGUUUCAGUUUCCAUUUCCCAAACGUUCUAGUCGGCCUGCAGGCUGUGCUAACCUUAUUCCUCCUAACAAACAGCCGUGAGUCGUGAGCUGGAGGUUAGGGAACUGGCUCUGUAACCAGUAGGUUGUUGGUUUGAUCCCCCUUAGCCGACAGUAUGUGACUGAAGUGCCCUAGAGCAAGGCACCUGACCUUGCACCUGACGCUGCAGAUAAGGCUGGCCAACCCUCUGGGCAUGUGUGCUCACUGCCCUCUAGAAGUUAGGACACCGCUGGGAUUGUCCUAAAGUUAAGACAGUAUUAUAUAAACAUUCUAACUAGACAAAAUUUCCUAUUUUCUUUUCUGGAAUUAUGAAGACAUGAACUGUUGUUCUGUAAGAGGUCUUGACCUAAAUCCAGUCCUCACUGAGUGAAUAAACAGAUAAGAUUUCAAGCUGUUUCUGUAAAACGGCCCCUGGGAUUAAACAUGACAUCCUCAGUAGAAGUUGAAACCGGUAGGCACGUGGUGUGAGAUUGAGUCAUCGCAGAGCUGAGCUGAAUGGGUUAGUGUGAAGUGACGCUUUUCAGGAUGCAAUCAAAUCACUGUUCCUCACACAGCCAUGCUGAUGCAAUAGUCUUGCUACCCAGAGAAACAUGAAAGGAACUUGCGGUUGAUUAUUAACAGCACGUCAACACCGAACCACAAAGCUCAAGGCCUGAUUUUUGCUUGCAUGGCAUAAGUGUUUAUGUUCAGCGUACAUGCUGCACUGUGCUGACGUCACACUCAAAGCCUGAGGGGAUGAACUUCACGCUAACUAUAACAGCACCCGAUGCUGAGAUGGUGUGAUAUAUUUUGAAAACAUUAGUGUUGAAUUUUAUUAGUACAGUUGUGACCAUGCUGGGUGACCAGCUAAACCAGCACCAGACCAGCAUAUCGCCACUGUCGGAACAAAACCUCAUAUCUCCGAAACGGGAACUUUACAGGAGAAGGAAAGAACUUCCUUUACUUUUAAUGGAAGUCAAUGGAACCAGAGUUUUUUCCAAGUCAUUUUGAGUCAUUUCUUGAAGUCCAUUCAUCAUGAAAUUUACACACAAUGUAAAGGAUGACAGGUAUCUUCAAAUUAUGUCAAAAGCAGAAAAACAAAAAUGGAGAUACAAGGUUUUGUCCCAACAACAGCGAUAUAUUGUUUUUCAGCAGUGAUGUGUUAUAAGGUGCUGUUCAGAACCUGCAGUGAUGCCCUCAGUGUAGCGCCAGCUUGUAAUUGUAUUUAAGACCUCAUUUUACAGUGAUACCAAGCUAGCUGGCGGUUUAGCACUUGGUAUUCAGCUAAAGCUGCAGCUAAAUGUACUAUCGCUGUAUUAAACCAUUGCAGACACAAACUCUCUGUGAAGCUCUCAUUUAUUCCAGCUGUGCCUCGCCCAGAAAGUCUGCCUUGAAGUGAAUUCGGUUCAGAGUGAACGUAAUCUUUAUAUGAAGCCAAAUUAGCUGGCCAGCUCACUGCUGCUAAACUGUGCUUUGCCCAGAGACCAGCUUAUAGCAGCGCUCGGCAUGUUAAGUAGCAUUUUUAGACAGCAGCACUUUGGUGAGGGGGAAAAAAGCACUUUCUUAAAUUCACGUAAGAAAUCCAGGUGACCAGGUGGGUGAUUUCCACCAGUAGAACCGCAUCUGUGAUGCCAGGCUGACCGGCCUGGCCAGAGGAACCACCAUGGUUACCACAUUGUAGUGAUAAUAGUUAAAGGGUCAUAUCCUACAUUUUUGGGGUUUUUAUUUUCCCCCUUCAAACUGUAGUAAUAUUAAUAAUAAUAAUAAUACUACACACUGUAGUAGUAAUAAUAAUAGUUAAAGG
Long non-coding RNA from Pygocentrus nattereri (red-bellied piranha), 4625 nucleotides. The record is from Ensembl. Lineage: Eukaryota; Metazoa; Chordata; Actinopteri; Characiformes; Serrasalmidae.